GUUAAUUAUCCAUUUUUAGAUGGUGACGUUCCCUUGUCACCAUCUUACGGUGUUUAUAUAUCUCAACUUGUACGAUUCGCUCGUGUAUGUAACAAUGUUUUAGAUUUUAACGAGAGAAAUUUAUGUAUUACUGAAAAAUUAUUACACCAGGGUUUUCGAUAUCGCAAACUAGUUAAAACAUUUACUAAAUUUUAUCAUCAGUAUAAGGACA
This 211-nucleotide long non-coding RNA is filed under the name Mytilus galloprovincialis (Mediterranean mussel). The record is from RNAcentral. Lineage: Eukaryota; Metazoa; Mollusca; Bivalvia; Mytilida; Mytilidae.